RNAcentral lists this ribosomal RNA (399 nucleotides) under uncultured bacterium. Its description in RNAcentral is "bacterial SSU rRNA". It matches the Rfam family "Bacterial small subunit ribosomal RNA", at positions 28 to 415 of the family's 1533-position model. The record is from RNAcentral.
GACGAACGCUGGCGGCGUGCCUAACACAUGCAAGUCGAGCGGAGAAUGCAGAAAUGUUUACAUGGAAGCGUUCUUAGCGGCGGACGGGUGAGUAACACGUGGGUAACCUGCCUCAAAGUGGGGGAUAGCCUUCCGAAAGGAAGAUUAAUACCGCAUAAGCCUACAGUGCCGCAUGGCACAGCAGGAAAAGGAGCAAUCCGCUUUGAGAUGGACCCGCGGCGCAUUAGCUAGUUGGUGAGGUAACGGCUCACCAAGGCGACGAUGCGUAGCCGACCUCGAGAGGGUGAUCGGCCACAUUGGAACUGAGACACGGUCCAGACUCCUACGGGAGGCAGCAGUGGGGAAUAUUGCACAAUGGGCGAAAGCCUGAUGCAGCAACGCCGCGUGAGUGAUGAAGGC